GGGGGUGACUUGGCUNNUGCCAACUACAACUACGCACUGGCCGCUUAACAUAGCUUAGGCGACCCGUUCCUUUUGUUUUUUGCCCAUCGGGAGCAUGAGGAACGUCGACAAUGAUGGGAUAGCCCGAUUCCGUUCGCAGGGGAGUCGGAUGAAGCCGCCGAAAGCGGUCAACCUGCGAUAGUGGGCAGCCAAUCCCGUCUGCCGGAGUUUCUGCCCGCGAAUCCAAAAUGGCAGAAUAUAUACGUAAACGUUUUGAGAGUCUUCUCUUCGGACCGGGGUUCGACUCCCCGCACCUCCACAA
Molecule: transfer-messenger RNA, 301 nt
Filed under: Bacteroidota bacterium
Lineage: Bacteria; Pseudomonadati; Bacteroidota
Description: Bacteroidetes bacterium (groundwater metagenome) transfer-messenger RNA
Rfam family: transfer-messenger RNA
About the family: Bacterial tmRNA, also known as 10Sa RNA or SsrA, is named for its dual tRNA and mRNA-like properties. Its role is to liberate the mRNA from a stalled ribosome.
Source: RNAcentral